This 125-nucleotide small RNA is filed under the name Marmota monax (woodchuck). The record is from RNAcentral. Lineage: Eukaryota; Metazoa; Chordata; Mammalia; Rodentia; Sciuridae.
GCUGGGUGCAGUGGCGCAGGCCUGUAAUCCCAGUGGCUUGGGAGGUUGAGGCAGGAGGAUCGCAAGUUCAAAGCCAGCCUCAGCAAUAGCAAGACACAAAGCAACUCAGUGAGACCCUGUCUCUA